UCAAUGUUCUUGGCAUGGAUUGGACAUCCAUUUGACAUUCUGCCAUAUACAUGGCUCAGUUCUCCCUACAACUUCAUUACUCAUGCACUGGGCAUGGACUAUCUCCCUCUGGCUGGUUUGAGGGGCAUAACCACAUAUCAGCCACUGGCCGUGAUGUCACAGUUUGACCAGUUUAAGGAGGUACAUCCUUUUGAGGGGGCGUUAGG
RNAcentral lists this long non-coding RNA (206 nucleotides) under Panax ginseng (ginseng). Its description in RNAcentral is "long non-coding RNA (PGIN_LNC003206)". Lineage: Eukaryota; Viridiplantae; Streptophyta; Magnoliopsida; Apiales; Araliaceae. The record is from RNAcentral.